This 182-nucleotide ribosomal RNA is filed under the name uncultured bacterium. RNAcentral describes it as "partial 16S ribosomal RNA". It matches the Rfam family "Bacterial small subunit ribosomal RNA", at positions 1317 to 1500 of the family's 1533-position model. The record is from RNAcentral.
UUCAUGAAGCUGGAAUUGCUAGUAAUGGCAGGUCAGCAUACUGCCGUGAAUACGUUCCCGGGCCUUGUACACACCGCCCGUCACACCAUGAGAGUUGGAAAUACCCGAAGCCUGUGAGCUAACAAACGAGGCAGCAGUCGAAGGUAGAGCCAAUGAUUGGGGUGAAGUCGUAACAAGGUAUC